Molecule: long non-coding RNA, 1104 nt
Organism: Athalia rosae (coleseed sawfly)
Lineage: Eukaryota; Metazoa; Arthropoda; Insecta; Hymenoptera; Athaliidae
Exons: 3
Source: RefSeq, a predicted model, not a curated record
GUCAUCGGGAGCUGCUACAUCGAUGGUAGCGCGUACAUCCUUUGAAAAGAGAUAGAAGAUGCUAGCGAGGAGAGAGACAUACACAUUUGUAUUGGGGUAAGGAUUAGCAAUGGAAUAGUACGCGUUUACUACCGCGCCAUAUAUUUGGGUGACAAUGAGUCGAGCGUCCAGUUGUGAUUGCGCAGGCACUCGGGAAGUAGUGUUUCGUUUGAUCUACAUAUUUUUAAAAAGUGCUCGACAAUCGGUAGCUACCGAGAGACCCGUAUCAUUGGAGAUUUCGUGAAUUCCGUAACUCGGAGAUUUUUCCACAAUCACUGCCAAUCACGAACAUCCGAUCGGGGCCAUAUAAUUUGGUACAUGGUCAACGGAGUACACAGGUGUUGAAGUUUUUCCGUCUUGGAUUCGACGGCAGUUCGGCUUCGGCGAUAGGAGCGGCGACAUCAGGAGCAACAUCAGUAGCAAAGCAGGUUCCUCAAAGCGACGAUGGAGAGAGAGAACGAUGACCAUUGUGUGAUGGAAGCAAAUCAGGACAUCAACGAGUCUCUCCAAAGAUCGACUCUUCUUCAUCCUGUUCUAGUGGAGAUGGAUCUGCAACACACGAGACGUACAACUCCUUUUUUUUUUUGCGGAGGUAUGUUUCAUUUAAUUUAUCCUUUUCGAGAGUCCCUAGUAUAAUCCAACAUUUAGAGUCUUGGUACAUGAAUUGCACCCCCUUAGAAAAGAUUUUCAAGAUCCUCCUCAUAAAAUCAGGUCACCCAGCAUUACCCAAAAGACUUGGUAAAUUCAUACACCCCCCCAUAAUAAAAUUCAUCAGACACGCCAAUAAGGCAAGACAAUAAUUUAUUAUCACAUAACUUGGUACAAUUUAUUAUAAUUCAAAUGUCAUAUACUGAUCAUAAAAUAAGUCAUACAUUAGGUAAGUUAUAUAAUCAGUUAACUAAUUGUUUAUUUGUUAUUCAUGUUACAGGUCGCAUAUCCUCCAACUUAUGACCCCCUGGACUUCCCCUGUUCAUCAGGGGGAGUUCAGGGACCCGUCCCCUGGGACUGCGCGGCCUCCCACCGCCCCCGGGGUCCCAGGGGACCCAGUCCCUGAGGACAUGUCCU